UAUAUAAUUAGGUCUGAAAAGAUAAUACUUUAUUUAUAGUUUAAUGUUAUUUGCUUGUAAAUAUUUAAUUAGGAUAGAAGUUAGAAUCGAAUCCAUGUAACAAAGUAGCGAGCUGAAGCAUAUAGGUCGUGGAACAUUAUCGGGCAAUACAUCGUACAGUGAGUAGCUACACUUUGAGCAUGCAAAGAAGAUGUGGUCCAAGUUGCCCUCAUCAAGCCCACAAUCACACAAUGAGUUCGCACGAACACCUAUCAUAGCCAGAAAUAACGGAGUACAUACUUUGCCCAAACGUAAACGACAGAUGGUGGAUAUUACCCAUUUCGGAGACGUACGGAAUCGAUAGAACCACGGUUUUCGAGAUAUACGAGGUUGUAUACAGCCAUAAUGUCUACCUGUCACUAAUCUCGAGGUAUCCCAUUGUUCCUGCCAUGUAUUAAAUAGAUCCGACAGUGAACCACUCAGAAGCUUCAAGAAUAGCAACUGCUUCACCUGUGAAAAUCGACGCUUGAGGAGGACACCUAAAUGAGAGGACAAUAUUGUACCGAGGAAUCCACACUGCUGCUCCCACACAUCUUGCAGGAUCUACCUUUGAAGCGUCAGUAUAAACCGUGAGUUCCAGUGCAAGUGACCGCAAACGUGGAAGCAGCAAAUGGUUGUAGUAAGAACUGGCUUUGAUUAAAAAUCUAUCGGCAAGAUAUUGUCUGCGGAGAGACAAAGGAGGCUCAACACCUUCCACCUGCAUGGCGUUCUUGGGAGAAGAAUGCAUAGCUCCGAGUAUGAUCCUCAAACAUUUAGCUUGUAUGAGAUCUAAUUUACCUAGUCCAUCCUUAUUGCAAGGUUCCAUUAAAAAUGACCCAUAGUCUAUAUGACUGCGUAUGAUGGCAUUGUACAGUAGCUUCUGACAAUAUGGAUGUGAGCCCCACCAUACACCUGACAAUGCUCGCAGAAUAUUGAUAUUUUUUUCACACUUACCUAUUAUAUACUUGUGAUGUGAAAUGCCAGACAUUUUGUGAUCUAAAAUGACACCUAGGAAUUUUACUGACUCCUUACUUGGAAUCAUAACACCGCCAUAACGGACAUCUGCAGCAGGCAUGAUUCUUCUGCGACUGAACGUGACUACACAACUCUUCGUUGGCGAUAGAGUAAGACCAUGUUCAUCAAGCCAAUCUUUGAGGUAACCCAGAGCUGUGUUCAAACUAGCAGCGGCUUUAUCUAUUGACUUUGCUGAGGUGUAUAAGACCAGAUCAUCAGCAUACUGCAAGAUAUUACAGAAGGAUAAGACAGAUUGCUCCAAGUCGUAGGUGUAGAUACUGUAAAGCAGAGGGCUGAGUACAGAUCCUUGCGGGAGGCCCCGCCACAAAGUCCGAGGUGGAUGAUAAGAAUUACCAUUCCUAAUUUUAAUUGACCUACCCAUAAACAACUUGGUGACAAUAUGUACAAUCUUCGCGGGAAUGCUCAGAUGUAGCAUUUUUGCCCUGAGCACCGGAAGAAGGACAUUGUCGUAAGCCGCAGAGAUAUCUAGAAAACAUCCUAGCAGAUAUUCGUUUUUUGAAAAGGUAAGUCGGAUAUCAGUUGCUAAAAUGUUUAAACUGUCCAUUGUACUACGGCCCUUUCGGAAACCAAAUUGAGUGUCAGCUAGAAUGCCCUUAUUUUCUGCAAACCAUUCCAGUCUAUUUUUAACCAGGUGCUCCAGUAUCUUUCCCAUUGUUGCAGAAAGAGCAAUCGGCCGAUAUGAGCUAGCCUCGUCUGGGUUUUUUAGACGGUUUUAGGAUUGGAAUAAUUACUUGGGUCUUCCAGUCUCCUGGGAUCUCCCCCGUGUCAAAGGCAUGGUUUAGGAUACCAAGUAGAUAUUCCUGUGAUGAUGUAUUUAACUUGGACAAGAAACAAUAUGCAGCGGUUCAGGGGAAGGAGAUGGAAGAAUAGAUGAAGGCUUAGUGAUAAUAAUAGGGAAAUGGUCACUGCCAAAUGACUGACGUAAUACCCUCCAGGAUAAUAAAGAAGAUAAACUAGGAGAACAAACAGAUAAAUCGAGAACUGAUUGGGGAUUCUGGCCUGGGUAUACCCGAUGCGUGGGAGUUCCAUCAUUAAUAACUCCUACAUUGAUGUCAUCGAACAGAUCCAGCAGGGCUGACGAAAACGAAUCUGAAUGGUAUGAUCCCCAGGAGAUAUUGUGACAGUUAAAGUCUCCUAAAAUUAUAAGAGGAGGUGGGACAGAUGUGAGAAUAGAUUGUAAUUCAUCUAUAUCAACUUCUUCAGGAUGGGGGAUAUAUAUAGAGAUGAAAUUAAUGCCCAUAACCUUGGCAGCUACGGCAUUAAUCCCAUCCGAGUGAGGGGGGAUAGGAAUUUGGUAGAAAGGGUAACAGCGCUUGAUCAAUAACGCGCAUCCGGCGCGUCCGUCACUACGGUCUUCCCGGAGACAUGAGAAGCCCGGGACUCUAAAAAGAGCGCCGGGACGCAACCAUGUCUCCGAAAUAGCCGCAACAGACACGGCGUGGUCGUUGAUGAGCUGAAUAAGGUCAGGUUUUUUUUGGUAUGAUACUUCGACUAUUCCAUUGUAGAAAUGUGACCGGGGGGGCCAUUGUGGAAUGUAAGUCUCUCCGCGAGUGUAACCAUUAAGGGUGCAACGUCGUUCGGUAGGAAAUCGCUCCAUUUAGCGAUGAUGUUUGUUAAAAAUUUCAAACAGAGUUCCAUUAGGUCUUCAUUGGGAGUGAUUCUAUUGUAAGAAGAAGAGCCAUUCAGAG
Long non-coding RNA from Cydia pomonella (codling moth), 2741 nucleotides. RefSeq lists it as uncharacterized. Lineage: Eukaryota; Metazoa; Arthropoda; Insecta; Lepidoptera; Tortricidae. The transcript has 4 exons. The record is from RefSeq and is a predicted model, not a curated record.